GAUGAACGCUGACAGAAUGCUUAACACAUGCAAGUCGAUGGGGAAGUGGUGCUUGCACCAUGGUAACCAUGGCGGACGGGUGAGUAACGCGUAAGGAACUUACCUGCGGGACCGGGAUAACAGCAGGAAACUGCUGACAAGACCGGAUAAGGUCAUUAAGCUGCAUAGCUUAGUGAUGAAAGGAGACGCCUGCGGAGAGCCUUGCGUCCUAUUAGCUAGUUGGAGGGGUAACGGCCCACCAAGGCGAAGAUAGGUAGCCGGCCUGAGAGGGUGGACGGCCACAAGGGGACUGAGAUACGGCCCUUACUCCUACGGGAGGAAGCAGUGGGGAAUAUUGGACAAUGGGGGCAACCCUGAUCCAGCAAUUCUGUGUGCACGAAGACGGUUUUCGGAUUGUAAAGUGCUUUCAGCAGGGAAGAAGGAAGUGACGGUACCUGCAGAAGAAGCGACGGCUAAAUACGUG
RNAcentral lists this ribosomal RNA (463 nucleotides) under uncultured bacterium. RNAcentral describes it as "partial 16S ribosomal RNA". It matches the Rfam family "Bacterial small subunit ribosomal RNA", at positions 28 to 507 of the family's 1533-position model. The record is from RNAcentral.